Molecule: long non-coding RNA, 825 nt
Organism: Athene cunicularia (burrowing owl)
Lineage: Eukaryota; Metazoa; Chordata; Aves; Strigiformes; Strigidae
Exons: 2
Source: RefSeq, a predicted model, not a curated record
CCCAUAUGGGAUUUUUGCUGGAAGAGAUGCAUCCCGAGGUCUUGCCACUUUCUGCCUGGGUAAGGAGACUCUGAGGGAUGACUAUGAUGACCUUUCUGAUCUCAACGCUACACAGCAAGAGACCUUGAGGGACUGGGAGUCACAGUUCACUUUUAAGUAUCACCAUGUUGGUAAACUGCUGAAGGAAGGGGAGGAACACACUGUAUACUCUGAUGAAGAAGAAAAAGAUGCCCAGGAUGCAAAGAAAGACUAGAGAGUGCAGUGAGGAACAAUCUAAUUUUGAAUCAUAAAGGAUCAUUUGUAACAUUCCACUUCUGUUUUACAAGGUGCAACAGCAGCAGUGCUUACAAAAGGUCCAGAGUUACAGUGAAUUGUUUCUUUUCAAAGGUUUCCUUUUCAAAUUCAGUGGUAAACUACUAAAGGUCUAAGAUGUCUUCCUUUAAACCUACAUAAUCUGAAGUAUGCACAAAAAAAGGUCUGUGCAAAAGUAAACUGCAAUUUUGGCAAUAAAGGACUCUUACUGCUUCUCUUUUAUCACUAUUUAGUGCAGAGUAGGUUGAAAUCCAGUUUUUCAUUAACAACCUAGCACUGUGGACGCAAGCACAAGAGUAACUUCACAUAUGCAACACAAAUUCCACUAAAUCUUGUUUUAACUUCUGCAAGGUCUGGUCUUUGGGUUGUUAUUCCUUUAGAAAAGGGACUAUAUUUUAUUUGUCCAUGAAGGAUCAUACUCAUUUGUGGUGCACUGUAAUUCAAUAUCGCAUAAGAUAAUUUGGCUUUUAAGGAGUUACAUAGUGGCUUACAGAUGAAACACUAACUGCUUUA